GAUAAAUUCUAUAUUAUUUGUAAAUUUGACAAAAACUAAUUAGUUGGAUUGAGAGUUAUGAAUUUCUAAAAUUUGGAAAGAAGAAAACCUUUGUAAGAAAAAUAUAUUUUGAAGGGAUUUUAUUAUAAACUGAGCAUUUUAUACAAAUUAAAGGAGUUUAUUUUGAAUUCAAGAUUUUAUAUAUAUAUUGAAGAUAGAUAUAUGA
Molecule: long non-coding RNA, 205 nt
Filed under: Physcomitrium patens
Lineage: Eukaryota; Viridiplantae; Streptophyta; Bryopsida; Funariales; Funariaceae
Description: long non-coding RNA (PPAT_LNC014531)
Source: RNAcentral